Molecule: long non-coding RNA, 1189 nt
Filed under: Homo sapiens (human)
Lineage: Eukaryota; Metazoa; Chordata; Mammalia; Primates; Hominidae
Description: long non-coding RNA NONHSAT152379.1
Source: RNAcentral
GGAAGUCCUAGGAGCUGCAGCCAGCUGGAAGGACAUUCAGGUACCCGGGUAGGCUCCUCCCUGCGACAGACCUUCAGCUUCCUCUCGGGCAUGACCGGAAAGGCCAAGACCCGGGAAAAGGAGAAGAUGAAGGAAGCCAAGGAUGCCCGCUAUACCAAUGGGCACCUCUUCACCACCAUUUCAGUUUCAGGCAUGACCAUGUGCUAUGCCUGUAACAAGAGCAUCACAGCCAAGGAAGCCCUCAUCUGCCCAAGUAAGUUGUUUGGACCCUGAGAGUCACCCAGACUCGGUGCCCACUGACCCUGAUCUUUUCAUCUGUUUUUUCUGCCUGGAUCCAUGAGGGUCACUCUUCUCUCUGAUCCCCAGCUGGGCCCAAAUGCCAGGGCCAGUUGCUUGAUCCCUUGCUCCCUGUCCUCACUCUGAGGGGUGGUGGCUGUUGGAAUAUGGCAUAAGCCGGACUAUCUGGGAAUGUGGGGGAGGGGAGGCUGUGCUGGCUCCUCUUGCAGCUGUCAUCCACCAGGCACCCCCCUUGCUCCCCGAACAGCUGCUAAGGGUUAGGGGAACUGAUUGGAGAAGGAGCAGGAAUGUUGUAUGUGUGGAGGGGGUGGGGUGGGGGGUGACAGAGGAACUGGGUGGAAAGCUGCCAGCCUUGCAGCUGGCUCUGCCUGUCUUCCUGCGCAGAGCUGGGCAUUCAGGACUUCACAGUCCCCUUGCCCCUUUCUUUCUAUUGACUAUGGGUGGAGCCUGAAAUCUCUGCUGUUUCAAGCAGAAGAUGUGAUUAGGACCCUUCAUCUCAAAUUUCUAGUGAGAAAGAGGGAAUGUAGCAGGGAUGUGUGUGUUGAGGGGCAGGGGUUAGAAUUCCUGCCCUUCAUCCACAUCUGAGUGUAGUCCUGUCUUUAGGGAGUAUAAGCCAGGAAUUCUUUCCUUCCCCAGUACACAGAGGGCUCCUGCUGCCCCCUCUCCCUCAAUUCCUCCUGAAGUUAUGGCAGAGAUGCCUCUGAUUAGAGCAGGAUUGAAGGUAUUGUGACCUGCUACUGAAUAGCGGACAAAAGCUCUAGCCUGUAAAUCCCUAUGAAACUUGGGGAAGGAACCCCCAGAAAGGACCAGUGAUGGGCAACCCGCUCGGGUCCCCUUCUACGCUGUGGGAGCUUUGUCAUUUUGCUCUUCACAAUAAAGCUUGCUACCGCUC